CCUACGGGAGGUAGCAGUGGGGAAUAUUGCACAAUGGGGGAAACCCUGAUGCAGCGACGCCGCGUGAGUGAAGAAGUAUUUCGGUAUGUAAAGCUCUAUCAGCAGGGAAGAGAAUGACGGUACCUGAGUAAGAAGCCCCGGCUAACUACGUGCCAGCAGCCGCGGUAAUACGUAGGGGGCAAGCGUUAUCCGGAUUUACUGGGUGUAAAGGGAGCGGAGACGGCGAAGAAAGUCUGAAGUGAAAGCCCGCGGCUCAACCGCGGAACUGCUUUGGAAACUUUUUUGCUGGAGUACCGGAGAGGUCAGCGGAAUUCCUAGUGUAGCGGUGAAAUGCGUAGAUAUUAGGAGGAACACCAGUGGCGAAGGCGGCUUACUGGACGGUAACUGACGUUGAGGCUCGAAAGCGUGGGGAGCAAACAGGAUUAGAUACCCCAGUAGUC
This 440-nucleotide ribosomal RNA is filed under the name uncultured bacterium. RNAcentral's name for it is "partial 16S ribosomal RNA". It matches the Rfam family "Bacterial small subunit ribosomal RNA", at positions 338 to 795 of the family's 1533-position model. The record is from RNAcentral.